RNAcentral lists this long non-coding RNA (1059 nucleotides) under Oryctolagus cuniculus (rabbit). RNAcentral describes it as "lncRNA (ENSOCUG00000036531.1)". Lineage: Eukaryota; Metazoa; Chordata; Mammalia; Lagomorpha; Leporidae. The record is from RNAcentral.
AUGGGGGCUAUUUUGGGGUUUCCCUUCAACAGCCCGAGGAAGGGCAGCGCACUGUCGUGUUCAGGGGGGCUCAGCAUUCACACCGCUGGGGUUCACACCCCAGCAACCAUGCUCGCCAGCUGCUCUGUGGCCAUGGGCAAGUCUCUCACUGCGUCUGUGUCUCCCCCUCUAACCCCGAGGGACGACGGGCACUCAAGAGGGCAGCGAGAGCUCUCCCGCUGGCCUGCCUGUACCCCAACUCCGCCCCACGCCCGCGGGCCUGCGGGCUGGCACCUGCCGCCCCCGGGACGCCGCGGGGGACCCGCUCUGCUGGGGUCCGCGACUCCACAGGAGGCGGCCGGGAGGACGCUCUGGGAACCGGGUCCCCAACUCCGCGGGGUCGGCUCGCACUCCCGCCGCAGCCCAAGCCAGAAGCAGACGGGCGGGCAAACGACCGCGGUCAGCCAAUCUCCGGACCCGCCACGCCACGCCUCCGCUGCGAGGUUCCCGGCUAUUGGCUGCCUGCUCCGCGGGCCGCCUCCGAACCCCGCCUCUCCGAAUCUUCCCGAGGAUUGGCUGCGGGACCCAUGGUCCUCCGCCUACUCCGUCCCAGACUUCACCCGGAUUGGCAGAAGGUCCCGUGACCCGCCUCCUGCCCCGCCCCAGCCACCGCAAGGAUUGGCUGCCGGUGCCGCGGCCGUCUGCCCAGCUCUGCAGAGCUGCUUGCGGGUCUCCGCGCCCAGGGGGUCGUGGGUCUCUUUGUCUUGGGACGUGCGCGGCAGGGCGGGUCCGUGCGGCUGCGGCAGCCGGAGCCGGACCGACCUGGGUCCCGGGACUGCCCCUGCGGCGUCUGAGCACAGGGAUUGGAAGCAACGGUGGAUGCCAUUGAACUCAAGAAACUGGAUUCGAUGGUCUUGCAGAAAUAUUGGGCAUAAGGUGUCCUUGCGGCUGAGCAGGUUUGUAAGACUUACGUCCUCGUCCACAGGUAAUCACGUAUGCAGGCCUUCCAUCCAGGGCCCCUGGAAGGCCUCUGGAGGAAGAACCCUGACUGCUGUCCCCAGCAUCGCCUCUCCAGCUUGA